AACAAACAAACAAAACACAUAUCCUCAAGUGAGGAUUAAAAAAAAAGAGGUCACUCUGACUUUUUAAAAAAAUAAAAUCAUAAAAAUGAAAAUAUUGGAGAAGUAUUAUAAAAUUGAUAUCAUUAAAUUUCUAAAUGUUAAAAUUCUAAUAGAAAAGAUUAUUCUUAGAAUAUUCUUUUGUAUCCAGUUAAUUUAUUUUAAAAAUAUUUUGUAUUAUAUAAUAAUCUGUGGUCACUGAAUAAAAAUUCUUACUAUCAAGAGAUUUAUGACUACUAGUAACUUUUGAUAUAUUGUUCUAGAUAAAAUAUAUAUCAAUCAUAUAUGUGAAUAUAAAGCUAUGUCAUGUACAAAUAUACCUACACACAAACAUGUACAUAAUG
This is a long non-coding RNA of Pipistrellus kuhlii (Kuhl's pipistrelle), 380 nucleotides long. RefSeq lists it as uncharacterized. Lineage: Eukaryota; Metazoa; Chordata; Mammalia; Chiroptera; Vespertilionidae. The transcript is spliced from 2 exons. The record is from RefSeq and is a predicted model, not a curated record.